RNAcentral lists this long non-coding RNA (803 nucleotides) under Callithrix jacchus (white-tufted-ear marmoset). RNAcentral describes it as "lncRNA (ENSCJAG00000085412.1)". The record is from RNAcentral. Lineage: Eukaryota; Metazoa; Chordata; Mammalia; Primates; Cebidae.
UGUAACCAUAAACUAUUUUAAUAAGAGACAGUUUCAUAGAUAGGUUUCAUUUUUCAAAAAAAGGGGAAGAAACACCAUUCUGUGGCUUGAUGUGGCUUUGUCAGUUAUUGCCUCUCCACUUCCCGGGACUUCCCACUGCCUCUUGAGCACAAAUCAGACUUGAGCGAAAACAACUCUUUUUCCAUGGGAUCAGUUAUAAAAAGAAUGGCUUUGCAAUGAGCAGCUUAGUCUCCUGGUCUCAUCUGUGAAAGGCUUGUGAAAAUUUCCGGAAAGAGCACUGGCUGGCUUGUUCGUCUCUCUGGUCAAUUGCGGGGUUUCUGCCGGAUCGAAUGAGCAGAUUGGUUAGUGAAGGUCAGUGUGAGAGGAUUGUUUCUGAGCUUGAGAAGCUUCCGGAGGAUUGAGGAGUAUUUGAAGUCUGUGUCAAGCAUCCGGGGAAUUUUGGAGGUAUUGAAAGGAAUCUUCUCCUUUUGCUGGGGACGUGUCCAUCUAGAAACCAGGAUGUACUUUCUGCUUUUCCAUCAUUGGAUCCACCACUUUACUGGUCUAUCUUGGGCCCUACACAUCAGAAUGAUGGGGUUCUCACUCUGCCGGAAUUAAGAUACCAACAAACCUCUCAGUUGACAACAAAUAGGAAAAGGGCCCCAUUACUGUACUCAAAAUAAAAUUCUAGGCCCUUUUCCUUCAUUGUUAUGAAGGAGUGUGGAGAUUAUCUGGAGUACUUAUAAACCUCAUCCGCAUACAAUGAAAGACUUCCUUAGGGCUGGUUGUUUAAUAUGAAGAGAAAUAAGAUAAAUAGUGGGAGA